RNAcentral lists this ribosomal RNA (464 nucleotides) under uncultured bacterium. RNAcentral describes it as "partial 16S ribosomal RNA". It matches the Rfam family "Bacterial small subunit ribosomal RNA", at positions 339 to 795 of the family's 1533-position model. The record is from RNAcentral.
CUACGGGUUGCUGCAGUGGGGAAUAUUGCACAAUGGGCGCAAGCCUGAUGCAGCCAUGCCGCGUGUAUGAAGAAGGCCUUCGGGUUGUAAAGUACUUUCAGCGGGGAGGAAGGGAGUAAAGUUAAUACCUUUGCUCAUUGACGUUACCCGCAGAAGAAGCACCGGCUAACUCCGUGCCAGCAGCCGCGGUAAUACGGAGGGUGCAAGCGUUAAUCGGAAUUACUGGGCGUAAAGCGCACGCAGGCGGUUAGUUAAGUCAGAUGUGAAAUCCCCGGGCUCAACCUGGGAACUGCAUCUGAUACUGGCAAGCUCGAGUCUCGUAGAGGGGGGUAGAAUUCCAGGUGUAGCGGUGAAAUGCGUAGAGAUCUGGAGGAAUACCGGUGGCGAAGGCGGCCCCCUGGACGAAGACUGACGCUCAGGUGCGAAAGCGUGGGGAGCAAACAGGAUUAGAUACCCCUGUAGUC